Long non-coding RNA from Salarias fasciatus (jewelled blenny), 855 nucleotides. RefSeq lists it as uncharacterized. The record is from RefSeq and is a predicted model, not a curated record. The transcript has 3 exons. NCBI's taxonomy places the organism in Eukaryota, Metazoa, Chordata, Actinopteri, Blenniiformes, Blenniidae.
GCGGUCUAGUCAUUCUAUACGUCAUUGGUUCUUCCCCUCUCUCUCUGUGGACUUUUGCAGAAGGAAACGACAUGUCCGUGUUCCUGUUCCUCAUUUUGUUCUGCGCCACAUUUGAGUCAGCAGGUUCAGUCCAGAGAAUCGUCUCAGCUGUUGAAGGACAAAAUGCCACUCUGCCAUGUCAAGCUCCGAACAAAGAUCAGACCAUCUUGGCGGUAGAAUGGAGCAGACCGGACCUGGAAAAGAAACUGUAUAUUUUCUUAUACAGAGACGGACACAUCGAUCCAGAUAAUCAUCCUUCUUAUAAGAACAGAGUGAAUCUGAAGGACAGAGCGAUGAAGGACGGAGACGUGAGUCUGAUCCUGAGGAGCGUGAUGCCUGCUGACGGAGGAAUCUAUGAGUGUUAUGUUGUCCAGAGUGAAGGAAACACGUUCACCAGCUCCAUCUCUCUGUCGGUGGCAGCAGCUGCAGGACACACAGGACGACUUGGAGAGGAUGGAGGGAGAGAGGAUGGAGGGAAAGGACAUGAUGGACUGAUUGCUGGUGUGACUGUAGCUGCUUUGGCUGCUGUUGCUGGUGUUGUGAUGUUUCUAAGAUACAAGAAGAUAAAGGUAAAAAUGAACACUAAAGACGAUGGAGACCCAGAAGAUCAAUCUGGACUCAGAGAGUCUUCAGCCUUUCAAUGAAAAAUUAAGACUAAAUCAUAGAAAAUAAGGAAGAUGAAAGCUUUCGUUUGUUUCCAACGUAUGUAUCAUUUUUUUAACAGAGCUUAAAGCUGGGGUUGGCGAUCUUGGAAAACUAGCAUGUAGCACAAAUGUAGCAUCUCCCCAAGGCUCCGCCCAGCUCCCACCCCAUUGG